This 200-nucleotide ribosomal RNA is filed under the name uncultured bacterium. RNAcentral's name for it is "partial 16S ribosomal RNA". It matches the Rfam family "Bacterial small subunit ribosomal RNA", at positions 8 to 227 of the family's 1533-position model. The record is from RNAcentral.
AGAGUUUGAUCAUGGCUCAGGAUAAACGCUGGCGGCGUGCCUAACACAUGCAAGUCGAACGCUCUGAGCAAUCAGAGAGUGGCGGACGGGUGAGGAACACGUGGGUUAUCUACCUUGAGGUGAGGAAUACCGGCGAGAAAUCGCCGACAAGACCGCAUAUGCUCGUGCGAGCGAGCAAAGUCGCAAGACGCCACAAGAUG